GUCCACGCCGUAAACGUUGGGCGCUAGGUGUGGGGCUCUUUCCACGAGUUCCGUGCCGCAGCAAACGCAUUAAGCGCCCCGCCUGGGGAGUACGGCCGCAAGGCUAAAACUCAAAGGAAUUGACGGGGGCCCGCACAAGCGGCGGAGCAUGCGGAUUAAUUCGAUGCAACGCGAAGAACCUUACCAAGGCUUUACAUGGGCAGUAAUCCGGCAGAGAUGUCGGGUCCGUAAGGGCUGUUCACAGGUGGUGCAUGGUUGUCGU
This 262-nucleotide ribosomal RNA is filed under the name uncultured bacterium. RNAcentral describes it as "partial 16S ribosomal RNA". It matches the Rfam family "Bacterial small subunit ribosomal RNA", at positions 793 to 1055 of the family's 1533-position model. The record is from RNAcentral.